UGGUGGAGUGAUUUGUCUGGUUAAUUCCGAUAACGAACGAGACCUUAACCUGCUAAAUAGCCAGGCCGGCUUUUGCUGGUCGCCGGCUUCUUAGAGGGACUAUCGGCUCAAGCCGAUGGAAGUUUGAGGCGAUAACA
Molecule: ribosomal RNA, 137 nt
Filed under: uncultured eukaryote
Lineage: Eukaryota
Description: partial 18S ribosomal RNA
Rfam family: Eukaryotic small subunit ribosomal RNA
Source: RNAcentral